AAAUCACCAACCGAGUUUUGGGAAGAAAGUCCAUAUGGGAGUGAUGACAAGCAACAAUCCUUCUGUGCUCCAAAGAAGAGAAAUUGAAUAAUCUUUGGCUGACAUGGAGACAAGAAGAGAGACCAUCGUUUCCUCCCCAUCCUGAUCUACGUGUCCCACACCACCAAGAAUGUGCCAGGGCUGUGAGCCCAUUGCGCACUGAUGGAGGGAAGCAUGGCGACUGAUGAAGAAGGGACCUCUAAGAAGAUUUCCGACCAGAUGGACAACAUCGUGGACAUGAGAGAGUACGAUGUCCCCUACCACAUCCGUCUGUCCAUUGACCUGAAGAUUCACGUGGUGAGUCCCAAGUGACGUUCGGAAUGUACUCGAUGAUGUUCCGCGAGCGUGUUGCGGCUUUGAAGGUGAUAGGGCGACGUUCUAAAUAGCCAGAAGAUGAUACAUUCAUUUAUGUUACUUUAAAAAGCGAGUCAGAAUAUAUGUAAUAGCAGUGGGCGGCAAUGGUGGAACUGAUAAAAGGAUAAUAAAUACGAUUGAAUGAAUGAAUGAAUAA
Tachyglossus aculeatus (Australian echidna) is the source of this 550-nucleotide long non-coding RNA. RefSeq lists it as uncharacterized. The transcript has 3 exons. The record is from RefSeq and is a predicted model, not a curated record. Lineage: Eukaryota; Metazoa; Chordata; Mammalia; Monotremata; Tachyglossidae.